RNAcentral lists this ribosomal RNA (253 nucleotides) under uncultured bacterium. Its description in RNAcentral is "partial 16S ribosomal RNA". It matches the Rfam family "Bacterial small subunit ribosomal RNA", at positions 524 to 776 of the family's 1533-position model. The record is from RNAcentral.
UACGUAGGGAGCGAGCGUUGUCCGGAAUUACUGGGCGUAAAGGGCGCGUAGGCGGGAACUUAAGUUAGAUGUGAAGACUCCGGGCUUAACCUGGAGACUGCAUUUAAAACUGGGUUUCUUGAGGGCAGGAGAGGAAAGUGGAAUUCCUAGUGUAGCGGUGAAAUGCGUAGAUAUUAGGAGGGACACCAGUGGCGAAGGCGGCCUGCUGGACUGCAACUGACGUUGAGGCUCGAAGGCGUGGGGAGCAAACAGG